Molecule: ribosomal RNA, 465 nt
Filed under: uncultured bacterium
Lineage: Bacteria
Description: partial 16S ribosomal RNA
Rfam family: Bacterial small subunit ribosomal RNA
Source: RNAcentral
CUACGGGCGGCAGCAGUGGGGAAUAUUGGACAAUGGGGGAAACCCUGAUCCAGCAAUGCCGCGUGUGUGAAGAAGGCCUGCGGGUUGUAAAGCACUUUCGGUUGGGAGGACUGCUUCUAGCACUAAUAUUGUUGGAAGUUGACGUUACCUUCAGAAGAAGCACCGGCUAACUCCAUGCCAGCAGCCGCGGUAAUACGGAGGGUGCAAGCAUUAAUCGGAAUUACUGGGCGUAAAGCGCGCGUAGGCGGCUAGAUCAGUCGGGUGUGAAAGCCCCGGGCUUAACCUGGGAACUGCAUCCGAUACUGUCUAGCUUGAGUACAGGAGAGGAGAGUGGAAUUCCACAUGUAGCGGUGACAUGCGUAGAUAUGUGGAGGAACACCAAUGGCGAAGGCAGCUCUCUGGCCUGAUACUGACGCUGAGGUGCGAAAGCGUGGGGAGCAAACAGGAUUAGAUACCCGGGUAGUC